UUUUAAAGGAUCACUUCUGGAAUACUCUAUCUACGUUACAGGUAUAUAAAAUGGGUAAAAUAUAUAAUAAUAGACAUCAAACCAACAACCCAAUUCAAUCCUAUAAGGGGUAGGUUUAAAAAAGCUAAAGUUGGCCACAAGAUUUUAAUCUUUUUUGAUUCAGGCCCAAAAACUACAAAUUUGACAUAUACAUUGUUGUGGUAUCAUUAUUGAUACAAAAUAACCACAUCAUCUUUUUGGCACCUCACAAUAUAAACUACUAAGUUAUGACCUGUUGAUUAUGCAAUUCUGCUGUUUUCGCAAAAGCGCCAAUGAAGGCCCAAUUUUUCACAAUUCAGAACUUUUUUUAGCAUAAUUCACUUUCCCUGAUCCAGAAAUAGUUUAUGUCUUGUAAUUUAAAUAUUACCCUUAGCACCUUUAGUUUAUUAAACAUUUUGGACCAAAGGUAUUCUUAAAGCUUUUAGGUCAGAAAAUCCAUAAAAUCAUCGCAUUUUGAUGAUAUCUCCCAAUAUAGUUAAUUAUAGAGUCUACAAUGUAUUAUAAAGAAGCGAUUUAUUUUAUGUUGCAUUAAGUCUUUUGAAAGAUAUCCAUUGAAGAACCAGAUGGGGCAUUUUUUGAUAUUCUAUGAUAAAGGCUGAAAUUUAAAAUCUAUACUAAGGCCAUAUUUUGCCAAGUGAACAUUGUCAUAUAUGGUACUGAUAAAAUAAAGAGUAUACUGUUGACCAAACUCUUAUAAACCUUUAACCCUAAAGUCAGUAUUUAUUUCCAAAUAAUAUUAUUUAUAGAAUUAUUUUCUUUUAAACAGG
RNAcentral lists this long non-coding RNA (806 nucleotides) under Mytilus galloprovincialis (Mediterranean mussel). Lineage: Eukaryota; Metazoa; Mollusca; Bivalvia; Mytilida; Mytilidae. The record is from RNAcentral.